RNAcentral lists this unclassified non-coding RNA (250 nucleotides) under plant metagenome. RNAcentral describes it as "partial contains small subunit ribosomal RNA, internal transcribed spacer 1, and 5.8S ribosomal RNA". The record is from RNAcentral.
GUAGGUGAACCUGCGGAAGGAUCAUUAAAAAUUAAAAAAACAUGGUGGGGAGCAUGGAAGCGAUUGAGGUUGAGUCUCUCGAUUCCCUCUUUUUGUGACCGUGUAAUCCAUCCAUGAAAACUCCGAUUUCAUAACAGGAAGGCGCAAGUCUACCCGUUGGGAAUAAAGAAAACAAAGAUGAAAAGGACGAAGACGAGCUGCAAAGCUUUGUUCUUGUUCUUUCCAACGACCCCGAUACUUUUGAAACCAU